GCUCUGCUCUGUGAGUUAAACUCAAUCAUCGCAAAGAAUUUUCUGAGAAUGCUUCUGUCUUGUUUUUAGAUGAAGUUCUUUCCUUUACUACGACAGGCCUCAAAGAGGUCCAAAUCUCCACUUGCAGAUUCUGCAGAAGGAGUGUUUCAAACCUGAACUGUCAGAGAAAGGUUCAACACUGUGAGUUGAAUGCAAGCAUCACGAAGAAGGUUCUGAGAAUGCUUCUGUUUACGUAGGUGAGUUCUCUCCCGUAUCCAACGAAAUCCUCAAAGCGGUCC
Molecule: long non-coding RNA, 278 nt
Filed under: Homo sapiens (human)
Lineage: Eukaryota; Metazoa; Chordata; Mammalia; Primates; Hominidae
Description: LNC_000141
Source: RNAcentral